Molecule: microRNA, 21 nt
Filed under: Gossypium raimondii (Peruvian cotton)
Lineage: Eukaryota; Viridiplantae; Streptophyta; Magnoliopsida; Malvales; Malvaceae
Description: gra-miR530a
Gene: gra-miR530a
Source: miRBase by way of RNAcentral
AGGUGCAGAUGCAGUUGCAGG